Molecule: RNase P RNA, 399 nt
Filed under: Oceaniovalibus sp. ACAM 378
Lineage: Bacteria; Pseudomonadati; Pseudomonadota; Alphaproteobacteria; Rhodobacterales; Roseobacteraceae
Description: Bacterial RNase P class A
Rfam family: Bacterial RNase P class A
About the family: Ribonuclease P (RNase P) is a ubiquitous endoribonuclease, found in archaea, bacteria and eukarya as well as chloroplasts and mitochondria. Its best characterised activity is the generation of mature 5'-ends of tRNAs by cleaving the 5'-leader elements of precursor-tRNAs.
Source: Rfam by way of RNAcentral
GCGGAUGGCUGGAUGGCCGCGUGCCCUUGCAAAAGGGUGCGAGGAAAGUCCGGACUCCCAGAAACAACGGUGCCGGGUAACGCCCGGGCGGGGCAACCCGACGGAAAGCGCCACAGAGAACAGACUGCCUUAGCCGGUCGCUUGCGAUCGGCAAUGGUGAGGGUGAAACGGUGCGGUAAGAGCGCACCGCGCCCCCGGCAACGGGGGUGGCACGGCAAGCCCCACCGGGAGCAAUGCCGAAUAGGGAUUUCAAGGGGUUUCCCCAGGGCCGUUUCUGCCCCGAAAUCCGGGUAGGCAGCUUGACCCUGUCGGCAACGGCAGGGCCAGAGGAAUGGUCAUCCAUCCGUGACGGGCAACCGGAGCGGAGGACAAAAUCCGGCUUACAGGCCGUCCGCGCAA